GAUGAAGAACGUAGCGAAAUGCGAUACUUGGUGUGAAUUGCAGAAUCCCGUGAAUCAUCGAGUCUUUGAACGCAAGUUGCGCCCGAAGCCAUUAGGCCGAGGGCACGCCUGCCUGGGCGUCACACGUCGUUGCCCCCCCAUCUACUCCUUCGGGAUUGCGGGGGGCGGAUGAUGGCCUCCCGUGCGCCUCGCCGCGCGGUUGGCAUAAAUGCCAAGUCCUCGGCGACGCACGCCACGACAAUCGGUGGUUGCGAAACCUCGGUUGCCCGUCGUGUGCGGUCGUCGCGCAUCGAGGGCUCGAAAAAAUUGCCGGGUUCCGGCUCGGCUUUCAACGCGACCCCAGGUCAGGCGGGGUUACCCGCUGAAUUUAAGCAUAUCAAUAAGCGGAGGA
This 391-nucleotide unclassified non-coding RNA is filed under the name soil metagenome. RNAcentral describes it as "partial contains 5.8S ribosomal RNA, internal transcribed spacer 2, and large subunit ribosomal RNA". The stretch from base 1 to 122 matches the Rfam family "5.8S ribosomal RNA", at positions 35 to 154 of the family's 154-position model. The record is from RNAcentral.